UCCGCAGGCGGUCCGGUGUGUCGGAUGUGAAAGCUCACAGCUCAACUGUGGAAUUGCAUUCGAAACUGCCGGACUAGAGUACUGGAGGGGUGAAGGGAACACUUGGUGUAGCGGUGAAAUGCGUAGAUAUCAAGUGGAACACCGGAGGCGAAGGCGCUUCACUAGACAGAUACUGACGCUCAUGGACGAAAGCUAGGGUAGCGAAAG
RNAcentral lists this ribosomal RNA (207 nucleotides) under uncultured bacterium. RNAcentral describes it as "partial 16S ribosomal RNA". It matches the Rfam family "Bacterial small subunit ribosomal RNA", at positions 568 to 774 of the family's 1533-position model. The record is from RNAcentral.